Molecule: long non-coding RNA, 3992 nt
Organism: Gavialis gangeticus (Gharial)
Lineage: Eukaryota; Metazoa; Chordata; Crocodylia; Gavialidae
Exons: 2
Source: RefSeq, a predicted model, not a curated record
CUGUUCUAAGUGAUGACUCUUCACUAUCAGAACUGAAAUCAAGCAAAAAUAUGUGAUUGCAGCAACACUUUUCCAUCUAUACCAUAGCUAUUCCUUAUCUCAUUGCUGAUAGACUUUCAUCUGGAAUCAGCAUCCAGUAUGGACGGGAAUCUCUUUAACAUCAACCAGUUACUUUCCAAUUCCAAAAUAACCAACACCUCCAUUAAUGAUCUUCAGUAUGCUGAUGACUGUCAUGUAUGUUCACUCAUUUGAAGAGCUGCAGAUCACUUUUGCUUCUGUGAAGGGUAUGAAAUGCUUGGACUUUCUGUCAACUUCAUCAAACUCAAGAUACUUUAUCAAUCCACCCCCAACCAACCAGCUGAUCCUGCUCACAUUAAAAUUAGAGGGUAAUCCUUGGAGAAUGAGCAUUUUCUCUACAUGGGUAGCUAGCUUUUCCAAAAAAAGUAAUCAUAGACAAAGCUAUUCACUACCAGAUCAAAUCUGCCAGUGCCCUUUGAUGAUCAUGACAUCAGGACACAGACCAAGCUUCUUAUCUACUAGGAUGCUGUCAUCCCUACUAUGUUGUGUGGGUGUGAAACUUGAAUGACAUAUCGGAUAUACCUGAGAGCUUUAAAACAUUACCAUCAACAAUGUCUCCAGAAAAUCCUCCAUAUCAACUGGAAGGAUAGAAGAAGGAACAGCAGCAUUCCAGCUCAAACAAACACCACCAGUGUUAAAGGCAUUUGGCAUGUUUAUAUGGCACUGUCACAGCCUGUAUGUUUUCAGGGGAUGCAGCCAGCUGAAGCCAGUAAGCAACUGAUUGCAGUCUUGCUGAAAAGACUAGCCCAGCUACAAGCAACGAAAUCUGAUUACAGGCUGCCUAGGGAAUGGGAGCAGCUGAGGCAGACAGCUAGGUGACAUCCAAGCAGCUAAAAAGGUUCCCAGGGAACAGUGCCGGGUUGGUCAGAGAGAGAGACAGAACUGUGGGCUAGAAGCUGGAAGUGAGAGAGCUGCACGUGAGAGUGGAGUGUCGAGUGGGAGAGAGCCAGCAGGUCACCUCAUGCAGGAGCCCGGGGAUCAUAGCAGGAGUGCCCCUCUCCUAGAGGACUCUAAGUGCAGCAAAGAGACUAAGUGAUCCCAUCCUGUGGCUGAAGGGACCAGAGGGACAAGGGAGAGAGUGGGCAAGUGGCAGCAGACUCUCUUUGGGUUUGGGAGAAGACCCCAUGUGGUAUAGAGUUUGGUUUACAGACUGAGUUGUUUAUGUUGACUCCGCUGGGAGGAAGUUGUCCCCUGGGGAAUAAAAAUACCGGGAAAGAUGAUGAAUGAACCUGAAAGACUGUGUGUUUUCUGAGUGAGCAAAUUCCUGAAUCUGCUACGGCACCAGCUCUACUGGACAGGACAUGUCAUGGCAAUCAGUUCCCAAAACAGGUCCUAUACGUCCAACUCAUCAAUGGUGCUCGCUGUUGAGGUGAGCAAAAGAAAAGAUUCAAGGACACCUUGAAGGCCAAUCUGAAGAAAUGUGAUAUUGUCAUCAAUACCUGGGGGACUCGAGCACUGAAUUGUUCCCAGUGGUGCUGUGAUGUAUGAGGCAUCAAUCACUUGGAAGCCAACAGAGAGAUAGAGAGACAAAAGGAAAGAGCUGUGACUUGAUGUCACCAAUAUCUAUUCCUCCCUUCUGGAACUGUUUGCCACACCUGCAGUCAAGCAUGGAUCUUGGAUUGAAUCUGUCAACUACAGAAGUCACUGGUGACUUCCCUGUUCACUGGGAGACUGUCAUCCUUGUUUUGGGGGAUUAGUGCACUGCCAUUUCAGUGGUCCCUUGAUAUGUCAUCCAUAUCAUUUUCACUACCACCUCUACUAGGUUAUAGGAGCUUUGGUGAGAUGGUUCAGCACAAGGGCUAGAAGUGGACUCUAUUUUGCAUGUAUGUCUAUUUGCUUCUGGCUUUGGCACCGUGGCAACACAAUGCUCACUUCCCCAGGCCCAGCCCUGGCACUGGCAUAGGACAUGUGUCAGGGCACAGCCAAAGGAAAGAGGGGAUGGCUGAAAUUAAUGGAAAAAGACCUUACGCCCAUUUCAUCUGGGCACUCCUGUCCAAAACUGUCCAUUUUGACCAUUUGCGGCCCCUGACCAUUUGUGGGGAGGCUUGAGGAAGCGUAUUGAUUAUAAGCUUUUUUUUCCUCUUUUUUUUUGAGGAGAUGGAUCUUCUGUUGGGCAGAUGGUUUUUGUGGAGAAAAUGAAGGACUAUUUGCAGCUGUGAAAAGAUGGGUAUCUGAGUAAACAUAUAACCUUUGGGGAUUCAUGGUUUGUGUGGAGGGGCAGAUAGCUGUGGGAGGAAAGUGAUUUCAAGGGCCCAGUAGUUACAGGGAGAGAGAGUCAGUUGUUGUUUUGUUGCCUUUUACCAGUUUUCUUUCAGCAUCAGGGAUUGACUCCUCCUGUCCCCUGGGCUCAGUGAUUUACAGUACUAAAUAAGCUUGUGGGAGGUGGCUAUAGCGAUCCUAAGGUUUUUCCUGCCUUUGGAGAGCAGACACACAUGUGCACUCUGCCAGUUGCUGAGCAAAAGGUUGCAGCUCCACAGCUGGCUCUGGUUUAUGUUGGUGUUUCAUACAUAUACCUUGAAAAUGAAAAGGCUUGAUUACUGAGCACAAGGACUCCUGGCUUCUUUGAGAACUCCACACCAAUGACGCCAUAACAGGGUCUCUGCAGUAAGUGAGAGCAUAAAGCCAACUAGCUCCUCGCAACCAUAACUGCUGCCUGCUCCUGAUUCUUUAGCUGUGCUCUCCCCUCUCACUUGGAUAAACCAAUGACCCCUGUAAUGCAUCAUGGAUCCCGAUUCCUUUCCAGCUGUGUCAUCUUCAGGACAGUCAGCUGGGGCAGACGCUUCCUUCGUAGCCAUCCACCUGAGGAGAAUCUAGGACCAGUGGAGACUGUAAUUGGUUUAGCAGCAUUUUCACUGGCUAUCCUUGGACCAGCUGGAUGGUUCCUGUCCCACCUUCAAAGCUAUAAAAAGAAAGAGAAGACAAGUACUUGAGUUCUCUGGAUCAUCAGAUCAGCUGUAAAUAUCCUUACUGGAGACCUCUUUAAAGGGAAAACUUCAACCUAAAGUCAAGACAACUUAAAACAUAUUUAAAAGCAGUUUCAGACUUUGCAGUCAGUGCUGUAUUGCUGUGUGAUUCACUUACACAAACUUAAUUAAUAUGAUGAAUUAAAUUGGGGCUGUCCAUUUUCUGGCUGACUGAGGGCUGUAGGCAACCUGGGCAAACACCGCAUGGGCCACAUACACCUGGGCUGCAGGUUUUCCUGUAUAGCAGGAGGAGUAAAAGGGGGUGCAACGGCUAGAUCAGGAGCGUGGGGGGCCACCCUGUGCUACCAUAUGCUUACAGGCUGCCAGUUGGAGAGGCCCAAAUUAAAUUCCCAGUCUUGCAAAGCCUCAUGCACGUGCUCAGUAUUAGGCCCUAGGAGAUGGCUCAUAGGACUGGUUCCACUGAAUAUGAAUAAACACAUACUUAAGUCUUUGCAGAAUUGGGGCCUGAAUGAAUAGUGGAAAGUGACAUAUUGUGGUUUGAUUGAAGUGGGCUCAGUUCCAGGCAUUUCCACUGGACUUGCAUAAACCCCAUCUCCAUUUGGCUGGAGAGGUGUCAAAAGUGCAAGGUGAGCAAACUGGAAAAAAUGUAUAGAAAAAUCAUGCUUUUUAAACUCAUUCAGUUUUACUCAUACUAAAGGUUAUUUAUAAUAAAAGGAAAAUAUAUUGAGAAAAAAGGAGAUUUUAAUGUUAACUUUCUCUUUAGUUGUCUGUAUUAUUGUGGUUUUAGGAAAAAAACCCAAACCUUGUACUUUUAAAUGUAAUCUGCAAAUUACAACUGCCAGAAGUUAGCAACAAUUUCGGUUUGUUUUAAGCAUUCAGGUUUUUCAGGUAUGUGGAAAAUCUGGCCAUGUUUGUUUAUAAUGGAUCAUGUUGUAAAUACUUUUAAAUGUAGUCUCCAUUUUAAAUAAAUAAUGCGAUUAUUCAAAUUGU